UUUGAAUGUUGAAUAAACAAUGAAUAACUUUUUUAGCAUAAGUAUGUCCCAAAUAUUUCAUGGGAUAUAUUUACAUUAAAAACUAUCUGUUGUCGGGAUCCCUGGGUGGCUCAGCAGUUUAGUGCCUGCCUUCCGCCCAGGGCGUGAUCCUGGAGACCCCGGAUCGAGUCCCACAUCGGGCUCCCCACAUGGAGCCUGCUUCUCCCUCUGCCUGUGUCUCUGCCUCUCUCUCUUUCUCUCUCGCUCAUGAAUAAAUAAAUAAAAUAUUUUUUAAAAAUUAUCCGUUAUUUAUCUGACAUUCCAAUUUAGCUGGACGUUCUCUGUUUUUAUUCGCUAAAUCUAGCAACCCCACCUCCGGAGGACAUGCCUCUAAAAACUCUUCACCACCCACCCCUGCCUGGAAAUAGCCAUUAAGGCAGCUGCUAAUUAGAGCAUGUCCCCCAAGUGGCUGCCCAGCCGAGCCGUAGGCAGGGUAGAGGAGUGAGGGCUGCCUCUCUCCUUCUCCCAAACACACACACACACACACACACACACACACACACACACACACGCGUGCUGCCGUGGCCUCCCUCCUCCACCGGGGGGGCUCUGAGAUCACCCCCGGGCCUGGCUAAAAGGUUUUGCUGAAUGCAGGUGCCCAGCCUGGUCACAUGCCCCUGGGGAGGAUGGAGGAACAGCCGCAGAGCCUGAGGAUCUCGCCGCCCACGCCACCGAAACCGGAGGAGUGAAUCUUGCACAAACAAGGCUGGCUGGGUCCAGAUUUACCAUCGAGACUCUCCACUUUUGAAGGUGAUGCGAUCAGAGAGGGAGGUUUCCCUUCUGGAAGGAAAUCGGCCGCACGAGUGUGACAACAGGAGGAAGGAAUCCUGCAUGGCUUCCUGCCAGGCAGACAGAUGGACAGUGCCAGGGGGUUAAUACCCCGGAUCCAGCCCCAACCAGUGACAGACGGGAGCUGCAGGGCAACAGCCCAGUUCCCCGGCCCCUCCGGUAGCAGGAAGCUGAGGCCUGCUCUGCGCCUUGUCCCAGAGGUCCCGGUGUCAGAGCCUGCUUCAGGGGCCACAGAAACUCGAGUGAGGGCCCAAACGCUGCUAAGCUGCAGCCCCCGCUGGGGUGGAGCGGGGAGGACAAGGACGGCAGGCCCAGGACUGCAAGACCUUCCCACCUUGUCAAGACAAACCGGUAUCCACAGUUCCCUGCGAAACCUCCGGAGCUUUGAUGGCCAGCUCCAAAGAAACAACACAAAAUAAAAGAGAACAAAACAAAACGCAUCUGUGGGCUGGCUCUGGUCCUUGACCUGCUGGUUCAAAGCCGUUGGUGGCAGGCAGGCGGGGAGGGGCGCGGAAAGCCAUGCAGUGGGGGGCUUGGCUGGGGGAGGCGCUUCUGGCAACCAGGCCGCAGCCUGAGUGCGCUCGGUGGGCCAGGCCGCAGGGCCUGUUCAUGGGGCUCCAGCUGGAAGCAUCUGGAGGGUCCCUGGCGUGGCCACCGUGGCUGCAGACACAGAGUAAACAAUCAGCUGGAAUGCUUUUCCCAACACGCAGACCCUGGAGCCGCCUGCAGCCUCCCUGGACUCGCCGGGUGGGGACAGAUCCCAGGACCCCCUCCACCCGGCCCUGCCCCACAUCUAAGCUUAGGCCCAG
Long non-coding RNA from Vulpes vulpes (red fox), 1637 nucleotides. Lineage: Eukaryota; Metazoa; Chordata; Mammalia; Carnivora; Canidae. The record is from Ensembl.